AAGACUCCAUGUCUAAGUCAUAGAGUUUGUAUUAAGAUUAUGAAAAUUGUAAUUUUCGUUUAUUGGAUCGGUCAUGCAGGAGAUUAUCGUUUGGUGAUUGCGAUAAUCUUCUUUUUAUUGUUUCUGGGUUGUGUACGAGUUUAUAGUAUAUUUUGUCACGAAAUCGCCAAAGGGGGAGAUUGUUAAGGAUUUUAUAGGUUGGCGAAUUUCGUAAAGUUGGUUGGAGUCUUGAAGAGUUGAUCGCAGAAGUUUUUGAAGAAAAGAUUCAAAUUGAAGAAAUAAGACUCAUUCGGAAAGCUCGA
This 302-nucleotide long non-coding RNA is filed under the name Ananas comosus (pineapple). RNAcentral describes it as "long non-coding RNA (ACOM_LNC041688)". The record is from RNAcentral. Lineage: Eukaryota; Viridiplantae; Streptophyta; Magnoliopsida; Poales; Bromeliaceae.